Molecule: long non-coding RNA, 1739 nt
Organism: Peromyscus eremicus (cactus mouse)
Lineage: Eukaryota; Metazoa; Chordata; Mammalia; Rodentia; Cricetidae
Exons: 3
Source: RefSeq, a predicted model, not a curated record
CAAGUGCCUCUGUGAGCUAUCAUCCUGGCGUUGGGUUUCCAUCUGUGAAAUCAGUUUUGCUGGAAGCCCUCUUCCCGCUCUGAGACCAUGCCUCUAGGAGACUGGCUGAGAGGAGGGAUGAGGGGGCUAAAGGUGACUAGCUCAGCCUUUGCUUGUAUUUCUCAAGAAUGAUCCAUUCCCUGCCAACUCGGGGUUUCUACGGUUGCUGUUGGAAUACAUGUUUCUUUCCCCAGUCCAAAUGCUGGGCACCAUUAGAACUGAGACCAAUAUGUGGGUGCUUCUAAAAGCUUUCACAAACCAAAUGCACGCAAUUCCACCGUAAUUCCCAGCUUCUCCAAUCCACUACCGCCCAGGUGAAGAGGUAAACAGCACGUGAGUGGAUAACAACUCUGGGCUAACGGAAGAGACUCUCUCCCCAUCUCAGAGCCAGGCUGGAGAUGAUCGUAUAUUCCCCAAAUGGACAUAAAUUUCAAUGGCGUAUGCUGCACAACUGCCUUCUCAUUGAGUGCGCACAUGCUGGAAGAUGGGAUGGUGCUUUGUCCUUUACAGUAAUGCUUUGGGAAUGACUAUGUACCGCAAGCCACAGAACUCCUAAGUGCUAGCACAGGGUUUCCCAGGAGCCUUUACCAGGUCACGUGGCCGGAAGUGCUGCUGAGACUUGCUUCAGAGCAGAAAGACCUGGGUCAAUUGGGCCCUUCCCCCAUCUAGUCCUGGGGGAGGGGACAAGUGCAGAACCAAUAGCUGCUCCCCAAACACGUGGGAGGAGGGAGAAGGGCCUGAAGACACCUUCCGAGAGCACCUUUACUAGCUGCUCACUUUUCUCACCUUCUUAUCUUCCGGAGAUUGGAAACAUGCAGCACAUGGAGGGAGAGGCUAGCUCCAUCCAAGAGUACAAAUUAGAAGGCGGAGGAAGGAUGCCAUAGCUUUCUGAGGCUUCCCCUGCCUUUGAAGCCCUUGCCUAAGACCAUCUGAGACCCCCCCUCCGGACCACUGCCUCACACUUGUGCUACUUCACCAGGCAUCCACAACCCCCCGGUGGGCUCCUGGAGGGCUCAGGCAGUGGGGCACUACUGAGUACUACUGAGUACUAGUACUGACAUUGCUGUUGCUGUGAGCUGCUGCGUCAUAAAAAGGAGAUGCAGUAGUGCGGCCGUGCAUGGCUCCCCAGCGUGCUGCAUUUCAGCAGAACUGUCAUUUGAGUGGCUGCAGAACGUGACUUUAUGUUGUUCCAUGUUUUGAUUCCUUCUUCAAACCACUGGGCUCAGGGAGUCACAGGAAACCUUCAAGGGUGGGAAGGUUUGCAGGAGGACACUGCUCUUCACAGAUAUCUUCAGAGAGCGUUGUUCAGUGCCCCACAAAGAGUCUGGGCUUGCCUGGGAGCCCUAGUUCCUGAGAAUAGUGAGCUGCUGCCAGAGAGACACAGGAACCGGGAUCUUCCCUCAAGCCAGGAUGCGAAGCCGCCAAAGGAAGCAGAGACCUCCCAGAGGGAGAGACAAGGAGCCUCAGGGAGCACAGAGCAUUCACACACACAAGGGCCAUCUGUCCAGCUCUGAGUGUCUCCUAACACAGAGCAUCCUGGGGAAUUCACUAAAAUUAAGAGUCUUCUGAGGAAUGCAAAACAUUCCUGGGGCCAGGGGCAGGCUGGCCUCUAGCCUGUGGCCUUGACAUGGGAGCCUUGCGACUAAAAGAAAUAAAAGAUGCCUCAGUUGAGUUGACCUCCCUUCUCUGGCGCUAAAGCC